This is a non-coding RNA of Meleagris gallopavo (turkey), 195 nucleotides long. NCBI's taxonomy places the organism in Eukaryota, Metazoa, Chordata, Aves, Galliformes, Phasianidae. The record is from RefSeq and is a predicted model, not a curated record.
AAAGGGAGAACAUCUUUUGCAGGAGAGUUGCUUGCUUAGUGGAUGUGCUUGCCUGUCAGAGAUUUUCAGCAUUAACUGGGAAUCAGACCAUAAUUCCUAUUAACUGAUGGAAUGGCAUCAGGAAUUGUAGCUCCAGAACCAUUUUGUCCCUGCCUGAAAAUUCCAAGAUAAUUUGCUAUAGUGGCUCUUGUUUUG